CCCUUAGAUGUUCUGGGCCGCACGCGUGCUACACUGAGUAAAUCAAUGGGUAAGGGAACACGAAAGUGCAACCUAAUCUUCAAAUUUGCUCGUGAUGGGGAUCGACGGUUGCAAUUUUCCGUCGUGAACGAGGAAUACCUUGUAGGCGCGUGUCAUCAUCACGCGCCGAAUACGUCCCUGCCCUCUGUACACACCGCCCGUCGCUCCUACCGAUUGAGUGAUCCGGUGAGGCUCUGGGACCUGGACGGAAAGAGCGUUUCGCUUGUUCUGUUUGGGAAACUUGGUCGAACCUUAUCAUUUAGAGGAAGGAGAAGUCGUAACA
Molecule: ribosomal RNA, 322 nt
Filed under: uncultured eukaryote
Lineage: Eukaryota
Description: partial 18S ribosomal RNA
Rfam family: Eukaryotic small subunit ribosomal RNA
Source: RNAcentral